UACGGAGGGUGCAAGCGUUAUCCGGAUUUACUGGGCGUAAAGGGCGCGUAGGCGGUCGUGACAAGUCACUUGUGAAAUCUCCGGGCUUAACUCGGAACGGUCAAGUGAUACUGUCGGACUAGAGUACAGAAGGGGCAACUGGAAUUCUCGGUGUAGCGGUGAAAUGCGUAGAUAUCGAGAGGAACACCUGCGGCGAAGGCGGGUUGCUGGGCUGAUACUGACGCUGAGGCGCGAAAGCCAGGGGAGCGAACGGG
This 254-nucleotide ribosomal RNA is filed under the name uncultured bacterium. RNAcentral's name for it is "partial 16S ribosomal RNA". It matches the Rfam family "Bacterial small subunit ribosomal RNA", at positions 524 to 776 of the family's 1533-position model. The record is from RNAcentral.